Molecule: unclassified non-coding RNA, 393 nt
Filed under: soil metagenome
Description: partial contains 5.8S ribosomal RNA, internal transcribed spacer 2, and large subunit ribosomal RNA
Rfam family: 5.8S ribosomal RNA (bases 1-122)
Source: RNAcentral
GAUGAAGAACGUAGCGAAAUGCGAUACUUGGUGUGAAUUGCAGAAUCCCGUGAACCAUCGAGUCUUUGAACGCAAGUUGCGCCCGAAGCCAUUAGGCCGAGGGCACGCCUGCCUGGGCGUCACACGUCGUUGCCCCCCCCAUCUACUCCUUCGGGAUUGCGGGGGGCGGAUGAUGGCCUCCCGUGCGCCUCGCCGCGCGGUUGGCAUAAAUGCCAAGUCCUCGGCGACGCACGCCACGACAAUCGGUGGUUGCGAAACCUCGGUUGCCCGUCGUGUGCGGUCGUCGCGCAUCGAGGGCUCGAAAAAAUUGCCGAGUUCCGGCUCGGCUUUCAACGCGACCCCAGGUCAGGCGGGGUUACCCGCUGAAUUUAAGCAUAUCAAUAAGCGGGAGGA